CCAGGGCUACACACGUACUACAAUGGCAGGUACAAAGGGCAGCCACUUAGCGAUAAGGCGCGAAUCCCAUAAAACCUGUCUCAGUCCGGAUUGGAGUCUGCAACUCGACUCCAUGAAGUCGGAAUCGCUAGUAAUCGCGGAUCAGCACGCCGCGGUGAAUACGUUCCCGGGCCUU
RNAcentral lists this ribosomal RNA (175 nucleotides) under uncultured Desulfocapsa sp. RNAcentral's name for it is "partial 16S ribosomal RNA". It matches the Rfam family "Bacterial small subunit ribosomal RNA", at positions 1208 to 1382 of the family's 1533-position model. The record is from RNAcentral. Lineage: Bacteria; Pseudomonadati; Thermodesulfobacteriota; Desulfobulbia; Desulfobulbales; Desulfocapsaceae.